This is a non-coding RNA of Peromyscus maniculatus bairdii (prairie deer mouse), 437 nucleotides long. NCBI's taxonomy places the organism in Eukaryota, Metazoa, Chordata, Mammalia, Rodentia, Cricetidae. The record is from RefSeq and is a predicted model, not a curated record.
CAACAGAGGCUGAAGACUAACAGCUCUCCAGGAAUCCUUCAGGCCUUCAGCACCAUCUUCGGACUGCUGAGACAUCCAGCCUCACGGACUAAACAACUACUGGAUUCUAGGUAUCUCCAUGUGAAACAGCCAUUGUGGGACCAUAGCCCGAGUGUUCUAGGCACUGAGGGAAAUAAUUGGAAGAAUGAAAACAGGAAAAAUACCUGGAGGUCAUAUAUCUGAUAUGCUACAACUCAGCAAAAACAUUCACACCCAAAAUAACUGGAUUAGAAACUGGACAAAGGGCUGUGUCCAUCAUCCUAGUGACUGGAGGAGCUGAGGAGAACGCGAUGCUAAUGAAAGAACCAGGAAGAUGUCACUCCAUCCGAGGGGGAGGAAGAGCGAGGCAGAGCACAGAACUGCACAGCCCCAUGGGCUGAGCUUAUGAAUCAUGCGAG